AGAGUUUGAUCAUGGCUCAGAUUGAACGCUGGCGGCAGGCCUAACACAUGCAAGUCGAACGGUAACAGGAAACAGCUUGCUGUUUCGCUGACGAGUGGCGGACGGGUGAGUAAUGUCUGGGAAACUGCCUGAUGGAGGGGGAUAACUACUGGAAACGGUAGCUAAUACCGCAUAAUGUCGCAAGACCAAAGAGGGGGACCUUCGGGCCUCUUGCCAUCGGAUGUGCCCAGAUGGGAUUAGCUUGUUGGUGGGGUAACGGCUCACCAAGGCGACGAUCCCUAGCUGGUCUGAGAGGAUGACCAGCCACACUGGAACUGAGACACGGUCCAGACUCCUACGGGAGGCAGCAGUGGGGAAUAUUGCACAAUGGGCGCAAGCCUGAUGCAGCCAUGCCGCGUGUAUGAAGAAGGCCUUCGGGUUGUAAAGUACUUUCAGCGGGGAGGAAGGGAGUAAAGUUAAUACCUUUGCUCAUUGACGUUACCCGCAGAAGAAGCACCGGCUAACUCCGUGCCAGCAGCCGCGGUAAUACGGAGGGUGCAAGCGUUAAUCGGAAUUACUGGGCGUAAAGCGCACGCAGGCGGUUUGUUAAGUCAGAUGUGAAAUCCCCGGGCUCAACCUGGGAACUGCAUCUGAUACUGGCAAGCUUGAGUCUCGUAGAGGGGGGUAGAAUUCCAGGUGUAGCGGUGAAAUGCGUAGAGAUCUGGAGGAAUACCGGUGGCGAAGGCGGCCCCCUGGACGAAGACUGACGCUCAGGUGCGAAAGCGUGGGGAGCAAACAGGAUUAGAUACCCUGGUAGUCCACGCCGUAAACGAUGUCGACUUGGAGGUUGUGCCCUUGAGGCGUGGCUUCCGGAGCUAACGCGUUAAGUCGACCGCCUGGGGAGUACGGCCGCAAGGUUAAAACUCAAAUGAAUUGACGGGGGCCCGCACAAGCGGUGGAGCAUGUGGUUUAAUUCGAUGCAACGCGAAGAACCUUACCUGGUCUUGACAUCCACGGAAGUUUUCAGAGAUGAGAAUGUGCCUUCGGG
RNAcentral lists this ribosomal RNA (1027 nucleotides) under Escherichia coli 2-474-04_S1_C2. RNAcentral's name for it is "bacterial SSU rRNA". It matches the Rfam family "Bacterial small subunit ribosomal RNA", at positions 8 to 1024 of the family's 1533-position model. Lineage: Bacteria; Pseudomonadati; Pseudomonadota; Gammaproteobacteria; Enterobacterales; Enterobacteriaceae. The record is from RNAcentral.